RNAcentral lists this ribosomal RNA (526 nucleotides) under Acremonium sp. CQCTD02C-9-M8. RNAcentral describes it as "eukaryotic LSU rRNA". The stretch from base 156 to 309 matches the Rfam family "5.8S ribosomal RNA". The record is from RNAcentral. Lineage: Eukaryota; Fungi; Ascomycota; Sordariomycetes; Hypocreales; Bionectriaceae.
GAGUGUAAAAACUCCCAAACCAUUGUGAACUUACCACUGUUGCUUCGGCGGCCUCGCCCCGGGCGCGUUCGCGCGGCCCGGACCCAGGCGUCCGCCGGAGGCUUCAAACUCUUGUCUUUUAGUGUAUUUCUGAGUGGCAUAAGCAAAUAAAUCAAAACUUUCAGCAACGGAUCUCUUGGUUCUGGCAUCGAUGAAGAACGCAGCAAAAUGCGAUAAGUAAUGUGAAUUGCAGAAUUCAGUGAAUCAUCGAAUCUUUGAACGCACAUUGCGCCCGCCAGUAUUCUGGCGGGCAUGCCUGUCUGAGCGUCAUUUCAACCCUCAGGACCCGUUCGCGGGACCUGGCGUUGGGGAUCAGCCUGCCCCUGGCGGCGGCUGGCCCUGAAAUACAGUGGCGGUUCCCUCGCGAACUCCUCCGUGCAGUAAUUAAACCUCUCGCGGCAGGAUAGCGGUUGAACCACGCCGUUAAACCCCCCACUUCUCAAGGUUGACCUCAGAUCAGGUAGGAAUACCCGCUGAACUUAAGCAU